Molecule: non-coding RNA, 369 nt
Organism: Paramuricea clavata
Lineage: Eukaryota; Metazoa; Cnidaria; Anthozoa; Malacalcyonacea; Plexauridae
Source: the annotation of a GenBank genome assembly
CUCGCGUACGGCGGUUCAGAAAACUUCAAGAAUACCGCUUGAAAAAAAAAGUUUACAUUAUCUUCUUUUGAAACAUCACAUCCAAGUAUCGUUGUGGCUUUUAGAACUCUUUUUAUGCUUUAUAAAAAUAAAGCAAAAUUCACACUUUUGUUCGUAUUUUGAAGCCACAUGGGUUUUAGUUUACAUAUAUACGAAGAACGUAACCCCCGAAAUAAAACCCUAGGAACUGCAGGGUUGCCAGUUUGGCGUUGAAAGAGCCAAAUUUCUCGAUUUUGGCUUCUUUUGACUUCGUUUGGCUACUAAAAAUUUCGUUUGGCUUCUUUCUAUUUUUUGGCUCUUUUUGGCUUCUUUUUGAAUAAAUACUGAAAU